UCUGGUUUGUUGCACCCUCUCCCCCUCAUUAACAAUGGUUCUAGAAGCGUAUGACUCGACAAAGUCCAGCUCCAAACGUACAAACCAACCCAAAAACAUUUCCGCUGUUUUCCUGCAGCCUCUCCCUCUCCAUUGACUGCACUGUCGCAGCACUGGGUGGUGGCAGAGUGCCGCUGGAUGUCCCGGCCAAGGAUCGGCUGCCGACUCUCUUAUAGUUGUUCCUUCAACUGCCAUAACACAUGACCGCAGAAGUUUCUGGAAACCCCAGGCAGCGCCAACGUUAUCAGCAAGCCAAGAUAGUGGAGAACUUACGCUGACGGAGCUAGACGCAGAGAGAGAGAGAGAGAGAGAGGAUGAUACUGCCGGUGACGAAGCUGGGGACGCUCGCCGUCAAGACUUUCUGCAAGCCCGUCGCCAAUCGCCUCAAGAAAGAAGCCGGCUUGCACCCCAAGUUCCGGCAGCUCAUCAUAAGCAUUGCCCAGGCGAAUCAUCGAUUUGCAACACAAGUGCAAAGGCGAAUCUAUGGUCGUGCGACAGAUGUUGAAAUCCGCCCCCUUAAUGAGGAGAAAGCUGUCCAAGCUGCUGCCGAUCUCAUUGGGGAGCUCUUCGUCUUCACGGUUGCUGGAGCUGCGAUUAUCUUUGAAGUGCAGAGAAGUUCGAGGUCAGAAGCAAGAAAAGAGGAGAUGCGGAGACAAGAAAUAGAGGCAAUGAAGCAAAGAGAUGAAGAACUCUCGAGGGAGGUUGAGCUUCUUAAGCACAAACUGGAAGAAGUGGAGGAACUCGCAAAAAGUCGUGGACUUGGUGGAAUUCUUAAUUUCAGGCACGCACAUGCUACUGCAAAUGAUAGAGCAAAGCCAUCUUAACAUUCCUGUGUAAGGAAAACUAUACUUUCAUGUGAUCUGAUUCUGUUCUGCUCCCAUGAUGUCAACUUGCUGAAUGCAUGUUCUGACUUAGGGUCGGAGCAAUUUUUUGCAUACAACAAUAAUACUGACAUGGGACAAAAGAAAGGAUAACAAAGAUAGGCUUAAAUCAGCUGCAGGGGUUCAUCAGUUAUGUCAUGAUAGAAGGCAAAUCAGUCUCAGAGCUAUUGCUAUCCCAGAGACCUUCCUCGGUCUGUCCUGUUAGAAUCUGCAACUACCACAAACUUAAACGCUCACUGCUGGAUUAGAUUUUGGAGCUCUUUUUCAAAGCUUUCCAUUCAGCUUCCUUUCUCAGGGAGCCGUCUUCCUCACCUCUCUCUACUUCCACUCCCACCUUGAGGUUCCUGCUCAUCAUCCUCGCAAUGAAGAUAUGAUCACCCACGUGUGGAAGAAGCACAAGCUGGCACUUAUUUACUAGUGCCUCGAGUAUCGAGUUUGACCCGCAGUGAGUGAUGAAGCAUCCGAUGGAUGGGUGCUCCAGUAUCAGCUGUUGCUGGAUCCAUCCACCGUGAACUACUCCUCUCCCUCGGGUCCUCUCCUCAAAUCCUUCUGGGAGGGCUGAAUCAACAGAGUCGCAUUCGAUCGGAUGUUUCAGUGCUGCCAGAAAAGGUAGGCCUGUGAGUUCUAGACCCAACACAAGUUCCUGAAACUGAUCUUUCUUUAAGGUCCAUUCGCUCCCCAAGGCACAGAAAACCACAGAGCCGGGCUCGAAAUGUGCUAGUCAGCGGGACCACUUCUCAUCCAAAGAGGAAAUCGGUGGUUCGGGUAUGGUGGGGCCAGAGAGAAGGACAGGCUUCCCAAACUGGCUCCUAACAUACUCAAUAUACGGACCCUCAAUCUCUUGACAUGAUCUGAAGGCCAGAGCAGCAGCCUCACUCCGGCUGGUGAGCAAGUGAUCCAUAAACCGCAUGUUACUACCAUACGUCAUGAACGCCAUCUGAGCAAUGUGUCUCACCUCAUGGAUGUGGAGCUUGAUGGACUCAUCGGGAUAUUCCUCAGCUCAUGAGCCAGCUCGUGCUUGUCCACCUCGGCCUGCCUAGUAGGACAGAGUAAGUAACCUUCUGUGGCUGUACUGACACUACAGUAGAGAUGGAAGGGAUCCCUGGGGCCGAGCUAGGCCUGGCAUCCAGUAGGCGAAGUCAUAGAAGACGACCUGAGGCUUCAGAUCGCGGAGCAAGAGACGGAUAUCACUCUCGGUACGGUCCAUUGCAGUCAUGAUGAGCGAGUGCAAUGGGGAGGGCAUGUUGGAAGUCGUUUCAGCCCCAGGGGGAAGGCCCUCACGGUGAUCCGGCACGAAGACAAUGAGUUUAGGGUGGAGAUUGAAGGGCUCCAACUUGGGCUGCGUCCUGGCGGGGAUCAGGAAUGAGAUUUUGUGCCCUCUUCUUGCCAGUUUGUUGGCCAAGUGCAUGAAUGGCGUGAGGUGACCCAUUGCGAACCAAGGGUACAUCAUUAUGUGCAAGGCAGAGACACCCGACGUUGAACACAUAAUCGCAAUGGCGUCAAGAACCGAAACUAACGAUAAGGAUCAACCGUGUAUAAUUAAUGAAAUGCUAAUUGUUGAUACAAAAAUCAUCAACUUCUAUAUUAAAUUCAUGGAGUACAUGACUAUGAGAACAUUUGACGGAGAGAGAGGCUCACACUCUCAUACGCUCUUUCCCUCUAUUAUAUACUUCACCAACUUGCCUUGUUUUGAUGGAGAAGAGAGGCGAGAGCUCCUUUCUGUCCAGCAAAAAAUAUGACUCUUUUUUCUUUCCCGCGUUGGUUUGCCAAAGUAGUCUUUGCUCUCAUGAGAUGUUCUAUUUC
This is a non-coding RNA of Punica granatum (pomegranate), 2723 nucleotides long. The record is from RefSeq and is a predicted model, not a curated record. Lineage: Eukaryota; Viridiplantae; Streptophyta; Magnoliopsida; Myrtales; Lythraceae.